Small RNA from Flavobacterium succinicans, 78 nucleotides. It matches the Rfam family "Flavo-1 RNA". The record is from Rfam. Lineage: Bacteria; Pseudomonadati; Bacteroidota; Flavobacteriia; Flavobacteriales; Flavobacteriaceae.
CUUUAGCCCCGGCAGUAGCGGCAUCCUUUUUCUUUUUUCUUUAAAAAGAAAAAGAUAUAGCGGAUGACGGGACGUUGC